This is a long non-coding RNA of Myotis daubentonii (Daubenton's bat), 4908 nucleotides long. RefSeq lists it as uncharacterized. NCBI's taxonomy places the organism in Eukaryota, Metazoa, Chordata, Mammalia, Chiroptera, Vespertilionidae. The record is from RefSeq and is a predicted model, not a curated record.
GGAGGGGCUGGGACCCCGAUGCCUGGGUCCUGCGAAUACAGGCGCCUUCACAAGGCUGAGCUGAGGAAGAAUUGAUGCUUUGUGCAAGGAUGUUCGGACUCCGCCAUUGAUGGGGGGCUGAGGGGGUGUUCAAUCAGGACGCAGGGAUGUACCACCUCCCUAGGGGAGGAAGUGGGAGAAGGAGGCAUGAUGCCACACACCUCCUGGGGAGCGGAUACGGAGGGGUGGCUGUGACCUUCCUGGAACCGUGACCUUGAGACUCCCUUGGGUAUUCGCUGACUCAGGACCCAGGAAGUGCUCCCCCACCCCACUUAGUUUCCGUGGAAACAUCCACCAGCUGUGUACUCUGGACCCCUGGCUCCUGGGUCCUGCAGGAGGAGGGGGCUGAAGGCCCAGAGUCCUGGGUUUGAGAGAGGAGAGGCUGGGGGCUGGGGACUUCUGGGAUUGAGGGAGGAGGAUGCUGAGAUUUCGGACUCAUUCCUGGUCCUGAUAAAAGAGGGUGCUAGGAGCCUGGAGGAGCCUAGGAGAGGAGGCGGUUGGGGCUGGUGUCCUGGGUCUGAGGGAGCAGAGUGCUGGAUUCUGGGUCUCUGCAUGUCACCUGCUCAGCCGCUCUUUCCCAAACCCUCCCAUCUCUUUUCCAGGCACCAUCCCCAUGACGACUCCAGGCUGUCAACACAGUUUAAAGGGCCAGUGCCCUCGUCCCCAAAGCUCAGCCCCUCUCUGCCCAGAAAGUCCCGCCUCACCACCCCCCAGCCCCGAAACAAAAGCUCCUGGGACAUUAAUAUUCCAGGCACAAACACUGUUGGUUACUGAGUCUUCAGGAGGGGGAGGGAAUAAGACAAAAACCCCCACCCUCACCCCAUGUGCACCCUCAAGCAGAGAGCAGGAGAUAAAUUUGGGGGCAUCCUCAUGGCUCUCCGGAGGUAUUGAGUGUCUGCCACCCAGUUGCCUGGGACCCCUGAGCCUCAUUCUCCACGUCUGUAAAAUGGGGGGCUAGCCCUGGGCCAGCCCUGAGGUGCAGGAUCCAUGGCUUGGCUUCAAAAUGUUUUUUUUAAAGUGCCAGAGUAAGCAGGCAGCCCGCUUUCCUGUGCAUGGGCAAGCUUCUGGAGGUUGUCAGCAUAGCAGUUCUGCAGAGGGGUCCCUGAGCUCAGGGCACCGGGCGGGCACUGGCUCUCUCCCCAUUUCACAGGCGGGGCACCUGAGGCUCAGAAAGGUUAAGCCACUGCCCAAGGUCACGCAGAUGGUCACCCAGGUGUUUAAGAUGAGAACAGUGAUGUCACAAAUUGUGGUGAGGCUGAAAUGGGAUCCUGCACUGGCCCUUUAAACACGUGCCAUUCAUUCAUUAAUCUCCAAACAUGUAUCCAGUGCCAGGCACACUUCUAGGCACGAAGGGCAGAGCGGUAAGCCCCAUGGUGUAUAUCCCUGCUUCAUGGAGAAUAGAUCUAGUGCUGGGGGACAAUAAAUACGUGAGCAAAUUAGUAAAAGAAUGUCAGUGAAAUUUCCACACAGGAAAUAAAACAGUGGUGAGGAAAUAGGAAGCGUUCUGGAGGCGAAGGGAUGGGGAGUGGGAGAAAGUCACUCUGAAGAGGUGUCCAUGUGACCAGAGACCCGAAUGAGAACAGGAGGCAGUCCUGGGAUGGUCAAGGGGAAAGAACAUUCCAGGCAAAGGGAGGAGCAGGUGAAAAGGCCCUGGGUGGUGACAAGUUCAGCGGGUUUGUAGGACGUCAAGGCGAGGGAGCUGGAGUGAAGUGAGGGUGAUUGGAACUGUAGCCAGAGCGGGGCCAGGGCACAUAGCACCUUGAAGGCCCAGGGAAGGAGUCUAGAUUUUAUUCUAACGGUCAUGGGCAGCUAAUGAAGGGUUGUAAGCAGAGAGGUGACUUGAUCUGUUUUACUUUUUUGGAAAAUCCAUCUAGCUGCUGUGUGGAGAACGGCCUGGUGGGAGGCAGGCAUGGAUGGAUGCAAGGAGGCCCACGCAUAGUUCUUAAAGGUACAAGUAAGAGCCCUGGCCAGUAAGGCUCGUUUGGGCAUCGUCCCAUGCACCAAAAAGUUGCUGGUUCGAUUCCUGGUCAGGGCAUAUGCCCAGGUUGCUGGUUCGAUCCCCUAUGGGGGCCAUGCAGAAGGUAGCCAGCUGCUGAUCAGUGUUUCGUUCUCACAUCCAUGUUUCUCUCUCUUUCCCUCUCCCUUCCUCUCUCUCUAAAAAGCCAUAAAAAAAUCUUUGGGGGUGCCCUAACUGGUUUGGCUCAGUGGAUAGCGCAUCGGCCUGCGGACUGAAAGGUCCCAGGUUCGAUUCCGGUCAAGGGCAUGUACCUUGGUUGCGGGCACAUCCCCAGUAGGAGGUGUGCAGGAGGCAGCUGAUCGAUGUUUCUCUCUCAUCGAUGUUUCUAACUCUCUAUCCCUCUCCCUUCCUCUCUGUAAAAAAUCAAUAAAAUAUAUUUUUAAAAAAAUCUUUGGGGGUAAAAAUGGUUCAAGUAAGAGAUAGUGUUGUUGGACUAGGGCAGGGGUGGGGAACGUCCAGCCCACAGGCCAUAUAAGGCCCAUGAAAUCAUUUGGUCUGGCCCUGCCAACGCAUUAGGGGUGAGUUCAUUAAAUGUUUGACCAAAUAUAGCAGGCUAAUUUUUAAGUUGAUAAUUUUGUAUAGCCCAUGAAUGAUGUUAUAAAUAUGCAAAUGGCCUUGGUGGGGGGAGGGAAGGUUCCCCACCCCUGGACUCGGGUUAUGGUAGAAGAGGUAGACAAAGGUGAAUGGAUAUGGGCUAUCUUUUGGAAGUAGAAUGGAUAGAUGUUGCUGAUGGAAAAGAUGUUAGAGGUGAAGGAAAGGGUAAGAACUUGCAUGAUUUCUAGGUCUUGGGCCUGAGCAGCCAGGUAGAUGGUGGUGACAUUUACUGAGAUUGAGGAAACGUGAAGAGGAAUACAUUUGGAUUGGGCGUGUGAAGCUUGAUAAUCCAGGAGGUACUAGAUAAACCACUCUUAGUGGCUUAAAAACACAAAGAAGUUCUACUAAACAUUAAAAAAAGUCCCGAAAUAGGCAUCCAGGGCUUUUACGGCAGCUCUGCAUCAUCACCGGAGGCCCAGGUACCUUUCAGCUCCUGGUUGCACCGUCCCUACUGCCCUCGUCCUCACGGGCCAGCAUGGCUGCCAGGACUCCAGGCAGCAGCACCCUAGUUCCAAGCAGCUCAAAGGUGACCUGGGGGACAAGGGUCUUGUCCCCCAUUUUAGGAAAUCCUCCCCAAAUUACCACAUGACGCUUUUCCUUACAUCCCAUUGGACAGAACUUGCACAUGGACUCACUUGGCUGCAAGAAAGCCUGGGAAAUGUAUCUUUCUGCUAGGCAUAGGGCAACCAUAAAAUACCAGCAGGGCUCCUUUGCUAAGGAGAAAGGGAAGCAUGAUGUCGGGGUAGCAAGCUAACUCUCUCUGCCGUCACCCCCUGGAAUUAAUCGUUUCCACCCUCAGCCCCCAGAUGAGGCUGCCUAUCCUUUUUACAGGGAAUGUAACAUGUUAGAUGGGAUGUUACAGUGAUUUGCGUCUACCUCCACAUAAAUCUUGAAAGGCCGUCCAGGACAGGGACCUUUUCUGACUCAUCUCUGGGCAUGCAGCCCUGGGAAACCUACCCACUGCCUAGGAAAUACUCGAAUGAAUGAAUGAGACAGACUGUGAGAGACAUGAAGCGAUAGUUAUCCAACAUUGAAAGGUAUAUAACCAGAUGUGAUCGUGCUUCUUCCCUGCUUCAAAACCUACACUGGCCUUCAGGAUAAAAGCUAAUCCCCUAGCGUGGCAUUUGAGGCCCUCCACCAGCACACCCCACAAUCCCUCACCAAAGCUGGACAUGCACCCAGACAGCCAGCAGUGGGUAGAGGUCUAGGAUACAGAAUCAGAGAGCUCUUGGAUGCAGGUCCUGGGUCUGCCACUCUUGGGCUAUGACCUUAAGCAAGUCAUUUUCUCUCUCUGGACUAAUUUUCUCAUCUAUAAAAUGGGAAUUGGGAGAAAACGUGAUUGAAAACGGGUGCCUACCUUAUUCAGAUAUUGUGAUGAUUAAAUGGAAAUUAUACAGGUAAUGUCCUUAGCACAGCAAGUGCCUAAUAAACAAUAGCUAUUGUGAUUGUUAGUUUGAAGAUGACAGUGACAAUGAUGAUGGUGAUGCUGAUGAUGAUUAAUCUCAGCUUUGAGCUUUCUUCCAGGCUGUUUUCUCUGCUGGAAUCACCCCCUUACUAAUCACCUACCUUGUUCCUCUGCUGUGUUAAUCAGAGUAGGUUAACUUCUGUAACAAACAGGCCUGAAAUCUCAGUGGCUUUGCAAAAAAAAGUGUAUUCCUCUCUCAUGUUACAGUUCUGUGCUGACAAGUCACAGGGGACAGUGAGUCAGGGCCCCAGGCUUCCAGCUUGCGAUCCUAUCCUCCUCUAGGCUCCCUGAAGUUCUCUCCAUUCAGCUAUUAAGAGAGCGUCGACUUAUGAAGUAGGAGGUCAUGGUUCGAUUCCCAGUCAGGGCAUAUGCCUGGGUUGUGGGCAUGAUCCCCAGUAGGUGGCGUGCAGGAGGCAGCUGAUCAGUGAUCAUUGGUGAUCAUUCUCUCUCAUCAUUGGUGUUUCUAUCUAUCUCUCUCCCUCUCUUUUCCUCUCUGAAAUCAAUAAAAAUACAGUGGGGCCUUGACUUACGUGUGUCCUAACGAGUUUUUCGAGAUACGAGCCAUCUCUCGGCCGAUUUUUUGCUUUGAGUUGCAAGCUACAAUUCGGGUUACGAGCCAGCUUCAGAUACCCCACCGCUAGUUGGCACAGCGAACGUCACAGUGAACGCCACAACAUCAGCCCAGCAUCACGUGUCUCACUCGUUCACUUUUUGAUUUGACAUACGAGUAAUUUGAGUUACGAGCUCCGUCACGGAACGAAUUAAACUCGUAAGUCAAGGCCCCACUGUAUAU